Molecule: transfer RNA, 67 nt
Filed under: Aculamprotula tientsinensis
Lineage: Eukaryota; Metazoa; Mollusca; Bivalvia; Unionida; Unionidae
Description: tRNA-Ile
Source: RNAcentral
AAGCAUUACGCCGGAAGAACGGAUUACUCUGAUGAGGUAAAUCAUGGGCUUACUGCCCUGAUGCUUA